RNAcentral lists this ribosomal RNA (106 nucleotides) under Bacteroidota bacterium. The record is from RNAcentral. Lineage: Bacteria; Pseudomonadati; Bacteroidota.
UUGAGUGGUGGAAAUACCCAGCUCCAUUUCGAACCUGGCAGUCAAGCACCACAUCGGCGAUGAUACUACUCCUUACUGGAGACGGAAAAGUAGCUCGUUGCCGGGG